UACGGAGGGUGCGAGCGUUGUCCGGAAUCACUGGGCGUAAAGGGCGCGUAGGCGGCCUGAUAAGUAGGGGGUGAAAUCUUGCGGCUUAACCGCAAGGCUGCCUUCUAAACUGUCAGGCUCGAGCACAGUAGAGGCAGGUGGAAUUCCCGGUGUAGCGGUGGAAUGCGUAGAGAUCGGGAAGAACAUCAGUGGCGAAGGCGGCCUGCUGGGCUGUUGCUGACGCUGAGGCGCGACAGCGUGGGGAGCAAACAGG
Molecule: ribosomal RNA, 253 nt
Filed under: uncultured bacterium
Lineage: Bacteria
Description: partial 16S ribosomal RNA
Rfam family: Bacterial small subunit ribosomal RNA
Source: RNAcentral